RNAcentral lists this ribosomal RNA (368 nucleotides) under uncultured bacterium. RNAcentral's name for it is "bacterial SSU rRNA". It matches the Rfam family "Bacterial small subunit ribosomal RNA", at positions 530 to 896 of the family's 1533-position model. The record is from RNAcentral.
AGGUGCAAGCGUUACUCGGAAUCACUGGGCGUAAAGCGCACGUAGGCGGACUUACAGGUCAAUUGUGAAAUACCUGAGCUCAACUCAGGAACUGCAGUUGAAACCGUUUGUCUUGAAUACCUGAGAGGGUGGGGGAAUACCUGGUGGAGAAGUGAAAUUCGUAGAGAUCAGGUGGAACACCGGAGGCGAAGGCGCCUGCCUGGCAGUGUAUUGACGCUGAGGUGCGAAAGUGCGGGGAGCAAACAGGAUUAGAUACCCUGGUAGUCCGCACCGUAAACGAUGGAUACUAGGCGUUCGGAGAGUUAACCCUCUGAGUGCCAAAGUUCACACAUUAAGUAUCCCGCCUGGGAAGUACGGUCGCAAGACUA